AAUAGAUACCCCGGUAGUCCACGCCGUAAACGAUGGAUACUAGCUGUUGGGGGCGACCUCAGUGGCUAAGCGAAAGUGAUAAGUAUCCCACCUGGGAAGUACGUUCGCAAGAAUGAAACUCAAAGGAAUUGACGGGGGCCCGCACAAGCGGUGGAGCAUGUGGUUUAAUUCGAUGAUACGCGAGGAACCUUACCAAGGCUUAAAUGCAGACUGACCGUUUUGGAAACAGAACUUUCGCAAGACAGUCUACAAGGUGCUGCAUGGUUGUCGUCAGCUCGUGCCGUGAGGUGUCAGGUUAAGUCCUAUAACGAGCGCAACCCCUGUUGUUAGUUGCCAGCGAGUAGUGUCGGGAACUCUAACAAGACUGCCAGUGCAAACUGUGAGGAAGGUGGGGAUGACGUCAAAUCAUCACGGCCCUUACGCCUUGGGCUACACACGUGCUACAAUGGCCGGUACAGAGAGCAGCCACCUCGCGAGGGGGAGCGGAAUCUACAAAGCCGGUCACAGUUCGGAUCGGAGUCUGCAACUCGAC
Molecule: ribosomal RNA, 532 nt
Filed under: uncultured bacterium
Lineage: Bacteria
Description: bacterial SSU rRNA
Rfam family: Bacterial small subunit ribosomal RNA
Source: RNAcentral